Molecule: ribosomal RNA, 118 nt
Filed under: Prolemur simus (greater bamboo lemur)
Lineage: Eukaryota; Metazoa; Chordata; Mammalia; Primates; Lemuridae
Source: RNAcentral
UACUCUAGCCAUACCACCCUGAUCAUGCUCAAUCUCAUCUGAUCUCAGAAGCUAAGCUGAGUCAGGCCUGGUCAGUACUUAGAUGGGAGACUGCCUGAAAUAACAAGUGCUAUAGGGC